GGAGCUUGCUCCGCUGACGAGUGGCGAACGGGUGAGUAAUAUAUCGGAACGUACCAUUCAGUGGGGGAUAACGUAGCGAAAGUUACGCUAAUACCGCAUAUUCUGUGAGCAGGAAAGCAGGGGAUCGCAAGACCUUGCGCUGAUUGAGCGGCCGAUAUCAGAUUAGCUUGUUGGUGAGGUAAAAGCUCACCAAGGCGACGAUCUGUAGCGGGUCUGAGAGGAUGAUCCGCCACACUGGAACUGAGACACGGUCCAGACUCCUACGGGAGGCAGCAGUGGGGAAUUUUGGACAAUGGGGGCAACCCUGAUCCAGCCAUGCCGCGUGAGUGAAGAAGGCCUUCGGGUUGUAAAGCUCUUUCAGCCGGGAAGAAAACGCAUGGGUUAAUACCCUGUGUGGAUGACGGUACCGGAAUAAGAAGCACCGGCUAACUACGUGCCAGCAGCCGCGGUAAUACGUAGGGUGCGAGCGUUAAUCGGAAUUACUGGGCGUAAAGCGUGCGCAGGCGGUUUUGUAAGACAGGCGUGAAAUCCCCGGGCUUAACCUGGGAACUGCGUUUGUGACUGCAAGGCUAGAGUACGGCAGAGGGGGGUGGAAUUCCACGUGUAGCAGUGAAAUGCGUAGAGAUGUGGAGGAACACCAAUGGCGAAGGCAGCCCCCUGGGUCGAUACUGACGCUCAUGCACGAAAGCGUGGGUAGCAAACAGGAUUAGAUACCCUGGUAGUCCACGCCCUAAACGAUGUCAACUAGGUGUUGGGAGGGUAAAACCUUUUAGUACCGGAGCUAACGCGUGAAGUUGACCGCCUGGGGAGUACGGCCGCAAGUUAAAACUCAAAGGAAUUGACGGGGACCCGCACAAGCGGUGGAUGAUGUGGAUUAAUUCGAUGCAACGCGAAAAACCUUACCUACCCUUGACAUGCCAAGAACUUUCCAGAGAUGGAUUGGUGCCCGAAAGGGAACUUGGACACAGGUGCUGCAUGGCUGUCGUCAGCUCGUGUCGUGAGAUGUUGGGUUAAGUCCCGCAACGAGCGCAACCCUUGUCGUUAAUUGCCAUCAUUUAGUUGGGCACUUUAACGAGACUGCCGGUGACAAACCGGAGGAAGGUGGGGAUGACGUCAAGUCCUCAUGGCCCUUAUGGGUAGGGCUUCACACGUCAUACAAUGGUCGGUACAAAGGGUCGCCAAGCCGCGAGGUGGAGCCAAUCCCAGAAAGCCGAUCGUAGUCCGGAUCGCAGUCUGCAACUCGACUGCGUGAAGUCGGAAUCGCUAGUAAUCGUGGAUCAGAAUGUCACGGUGAAUACGUUCCCGGGUCUUGUACACACCGCCCGUCACACCAUGGGAGCGGGUUCCGCCAGAAGUAGGUAGCCUAACCGCAAGGAGGGCGCUUACCACGGCGGGGUUCGUGACUGGGGUGAAGUCGAAACAAGGUA
This 1427-nucleotide ribosomal RNA is filed under the name metagenome. Its description in RNAcentral is "bacterial SSU rRNA". It matches the Rfam family "Bacterial small subunit ribosomal RNA". The record is from RNAcentral.